AGAGUUUGAUCCUGGCUCAGAACGAACGCUGGCGGCAUGCCUAACACAUGCAAGUCGAACGAGACCUUCGGUCUAGUGGCGCACGGGUGCGUAACGCGUGGGAACCUGCCCUUAGGUUCGGAAUAACUCCCCGAAAGGGGUGCUAAUACCGGAUAAUGUCUUCGGACCAAAAGAUUUAUCGCCUUUGGAUGGGCCCGCGUUGGAUUAGCUAGUUGGUAGGGUAAAAGCCUACCAAGGCGACGAUCCAUAGCUGGUCUGAGAGGAUGAUCAGCCACACUGGGACUGAGACACGGCCCAGACUCCUACGGGAGGCGAC
RNAcentral lists this ribosomal RNA (316 nucleotides) under uncultured prokaryote. RNAcentral describes it as "bacterial SSU rRNA". It matches the Rfam family "Bacterial small subunit ribosomal RNA", at positions 8 to 352 of the family's 1533-position model. The record is from RNAcentral.